AUUAGCUCUAGCUCUCUUCUGCCAGCCAGUACAGCUGGGAUGGGCUGCAGUGUCUACACACACACAUAUGCACGCACACACAGAGCCUGAGGGUCCAGUUUCCUGGGUGCUCUAGGAUCCACCAGAGCUCCCUCUUAUUCCUUAUCAUGGGUCCGUCUGAAGCUGUGAUCUCUUUGAAGGCUGAUGGAAACUGUAUUCGACAUGUAGCUUUCAGUAGGAAGGAUCAACCCAUUGCCUGUAUCAUCCCCACUUAAGGUGACUGAUCCCUCUCUGGAGGCAGCAGAGACGUAGAGGAGCUCUUUAAAACCACGCAGCAGACGGCCACUCCAUGGGAGUAUCCAUUUUGACAAAAUAGACUGUGGAUUUGUCCGAAGAACUCAGGCAGCAGGGAUUGUGGCCUCCUCCUUGGUCUCAUGCUUGAAGACUUUUUCUCCCAGUAAUGAGAGUGCCGAGCGAGCAGGCCUUUCCCCGACAGUGCUGGCAGCAGGACAACUUGUGCCCGGGAUGGAUUUUUCUUCAUUGAUUCUAAUCUUCUUCCUGACUGUCUGUCUUGGCUGCUUUGACAUAUUGAACACUGAAUAGUCCCUGAGUAAUUCUUGAACAUUUGGGGAUCGUUUUUAUUUUUACAAGACAGUAGAAUCCAAUGGAGUGAUUUAUACAUGUACUAGAAGAAAAUGAAGAAAAAAAUAACAAAGUGGUUUCAUUCUGGGAAUAAACACGGACUCAAUGACGAUUAAAAACCACACCAAACAAAAGGUUCGCACCCAAUUUUCAAUAAUUCCAUAAUUUUGUAAGGAUACACAGAAUCAUGUAGAGAUGAACAGUAACGGAUAAAGGGCUUUCACAGCUGUGGCUUCAACCAUGAUUGAUGAGAAAAUGCUACUGAAGGGAGAAAAGGAAAAUGAAUAUUUAUUAAUGGAAUAAAGUGUCGGGGGCUUAAAAUCUAAGGAGAUCCAUCAUUUCAUAUUCAAGGUUGGAUGCAUUCAAAACAGAAGGUUCAAUACACUGGCCCCAUAGCUGAGCGGUAGACCAGAAAAAUUCACAGGCACUGCCAUCGUUUGGACCAUGGGGGACUUCCUGGGGAUGUUAUUCCCAUUUCAGCCCCCAUUAACAUCACCUGAACAGGGCAACAUUACAUGAGUUAUUACUCCAAGAAUGCUGUGACAACAAUUGCCUUCACAUUUUAGAACACCCAGAGCUAUGUGGUCUGGUCAUUCACCCAGAAAUUAAUAUAUCAUGUCUGCAUACUUUCUCUGUAUAUGGUAGUUAUGGCCUCUGUGCUGACAGCUUGGAAAUUAUUGGUAAGAUUUUUUUUUCUACCAUGACUUCAUCAGUUCUCCCUUGUACCUUAUAAGGGUAAUAUUUAGCCAACCAAUAGUACCUCUUCAAAUCUCCUUGCAUAUUUUCUCCCCAUAGAAACUCUACCCUGUGCUUGUUCUCUUUAGGUUGGUCAAUUAGU
Canis lupus familiaris (dog) is the source of this 1459-nucleotide long non-coding RNA. RefSeq lists it as uncharacterized. Lineage: Eukaryota; Metazoa; Chordata; Mammalia; Carnivora; Canidae. The record is from RefSeq and is a predicted model, not a curated record. The transcript has 4 exons.